UGAAGCUCUUCUUCAUUCUCCAAAAUCAGAAAACGACGGAUGAUUUAGUCUUCCCCAUUUUUUGGGUUUUCAGCUCAUUUUUUCUUGGGGAGAAGUGAUUAGGCAGUACAUGACUAGUAUGCAGGUUACCGAGGACUUGACCCUUGAUAGGGGAGUCUGGAGGUCUAGAAUCAGGGUUGCAGGCUAGCGGCUCUUAGAGUCCUUCGUUCGCCCCACCCGGGGUUGGAUGUGAGAUAGUAGGGUUACUCGCAGAUGACUAGUGUUUUAGCGUAGGUCCCCUCUUGGUUGGUAAUAUGAUAGUUGUCGCUUGUUAUUGUCGCAUGCGACGGUAUUUAUGUUUCUGAUGUUUACAUAAUCAUUUACGUUAUUUCUGCAGGAUUACUUAUGCUUUGUUUUGUUAUUGUGUUUUGUCUUGUCUUGGUUCCUAACUUUAUCUUUGUUUUNNNNNN
RNAcentral lists this long non-coding RNA (449 nucleotides) under Nicotiana benthamiana. Its description in RNAcentral is "long non-coding RNA (NBEN_LNC038333)". Lineage: Eukaryota; Viridiplantae; Streptophyta; Magnoliopsida; Solanales; Solanaceae. The record is from RNAcentral.